GGCUGGCCCAAGUGCAGUGGUGUCUACAACAAAUUAAUCACAACCAGUGGCAGAUUUCUUUGUUCCUUCUCCACUCCCACUGCUUCACUUGACUAGCCUUAA
Y RNA from Callithrix jacchus (white-tufted-ear marmoset), 102 nucleotides. It matches the Rfam family "Y RNA". From Rfam's summary of the family: Y RNAs are components of the Ro ribonucleoprotein particle (Ro RNP), in association with Ro60 and La proteins. The Y RNAs and Ro60 and La proteins are well conserved, but the function of the Ro RNP is not known. The record is from Ensembl. NCBI's taxonomy places the organism in Eukaryota, Metazoa, Chordata, Mammalia, Primates, Cebidae.